Mycena rebaudengoi is the source of this 89-nucleotide non-coding RNA. Lineage: Eukaryota; Fungi; Basidiomycota; Agaricomycetes; Agaricales; Mycenaceae. The record is from the annotation of a GenBank genome assembly.
UCGAACGUGGUGUAUGGUGCACUGCCUUGACUCAUAACUUGUGAGUACAAUAUCGAAGGCAAGUCGGGGUUCGACUCCCCGCGUUUGAA